AGGACGAACGCUGGCGGCGUGCUUAACACAUGCAAGUCGAGCGGAAAGGCCCUUCGGGGUACUCGAGCGGCGAACGGGUGAGUAACACGUGAGCAACCUGCCCUUAGCUUCGGGAUAGCUCCGGGAAACCGGAAUUAAUACCGAAUAUGAUUUUUGCUGACAUCAGCAGAAGUGGAAAGUUUUUCGGCUAGGGAUGGACUCGCGGCCUAUCAGCUAGUUGGUGAGGUAACGGCCCACCAAGGCGACG
RNAcentral lists this ribosomal RNA (247 nucleotides) under uncultured bacterium. Its description in RNAcentral is "partial small subunit ribosomal RNA". It matches the Rfam family "Bacterial small subunit ribosomal RNA", at positions 26 to 278 of the family's 1533-position model. The record is from RNAcentral.